ACUAGUGAUUUCCGGUUGACCUGCCGGAGGUCACUGCUAUCGGGGUUCGAUUAAGCCAUGCGAGUUGAGAGGGUUAAGACCCUCGGCGGACUGCUCAGUAACACGUGGAUAACCUGCCCUAAGGUGGAGGAUAACCUCGGGAAACUGGGGAUAAUACUCCAUAGGUUAAAGGUACUGGAAUGUUCUUGAACCGAAAGUUCCGGCGCCUUAGGAUGGAUCUGCGGCCGAUUAGGUUGUUGUUGGGGUAGUGGCCCAACAAGCCUGUAAUCGGUACGGGUUGUGGGAGCAAGAGCCCGGAGAUGGAAUCUGAGACACGAUUCCAGGCCCUACGGGGCGCAGCAGGCGCGAAAACUUUACAAUGCAGGAAACUGUGAUAAGGGAACCCCGAGUGCCCGUAUAUGCGGGCUGUCCGGAUGUUUAAAACGCAUCCGAAGAAAGGGCCGGGCAAGACCGGUGCCAGCCGCCGCGGGUAAUACCGGCGGCUCGAGUGGUGGCCACUUUUAUUGGGCUUAAAGCGUUCGUAGCUUGAAUAAUAAGUCUCUUGGGAAAUCUGCAGGCUUAACCUGCAGGCGUUUAAGAGAAACUGUUGUUCUAGGAACCGGAAGAGGUGAGAGUACUCCGGGGGUAGGAGUGAAAUCCUGUAAUCCCCGGGGGACCACCGAUGGCGAAGGCAUCUCACCAGGACGGCUUCGACAGUGAGGAACGAAAGCUGGGGGAGCGAACCGGAUUAGAUACCCGGGUAGUCCCAGCCGUAAACGAUGUGCGUUAGGUGUGCCGGUGACCACGAGUCACUGGGGUGCCGAAGGGAAACCGUGAAACGUACCGCCUGGGAAGUACGGUCGCAAGGCUGAAACUUAAAGGAAUUGGCGGGGGAGCACCACAACGGGUGGAGCCUGCGGUUUAAUUGGACUCAACGCCGGAAAUCUCACCGGAUAAGACAGCGGAAUGAUAACCAGGCUGAAGACUUUGUUUGACCAGCUGAGAGGAGGUGCAUGGCCGUCGUCAGUUCGUACUGUGAAGCAUCCUGUUUAGUCAGGCAACGAGCGAGACCCACGCCAACAGUUGCCAGCAUGUUCUCCGGAAUGAUGGGGACACUGUUGGGACCGCCUAA
This 1111-nucleotide ribosomal RNA is filed under the name uncultured archaeon. RNAcentral's name for it is "bacterial SSU rRNA". It matches the Rfam family "Archaeal small subunit ribosomal RNA", at positions 1 to 1112 of the family's 1478-position model. The record is from RNAcentral.